UGACAGACCUAAGUGUGACUGUGCAAUCAGU
This 31-nucleotide non-coding RNA is filed under the name Rattus norvegicus (Norway rat). Lineage: Eukaryota; Metazoa; Chordata; Mammalia; Rodentia; Muridae. The record is from RNAcentral.